UACGUAGGUGGCAAGCGUUGUCCGGAUUUACUGGGCGUAAAGAGCGCGCAGGCGGUCGUUCAAGUCGCGUGUGAAAGCCCCCGGCUCAACUGGGGAGGGUCACGCGAUACUGAUCGACUCGAAGGCAGGAGAGGGUAGUGGAAUUCCCGGUGUAGUGGUGAAAUGCGCAGAUAUCAGGAGGAACACCGGUGGCGAAGGCGGGUCUCUGGGCAACAACUGACGCUGAGGAGCGAAAGCGUGGGGAGCGAACAGG
This 253-nucleotide ribosomal RNA is filed under the name uncultured bacterium. Its description in RNAcentral is "partial 16S ribosomal RNA". It matches the Rfam family "Bacterial small subunit ribosomal RNA", at positions 524 to 776 of the family's 1533-position model. The record is from RNAcentral.